RNAcentral lists this ribosomal RNA (432 nucleotides) under uncultured bacterium. Its description in RNAcentral is "partial 16S ribosomal RNA". It matches the Rfam family "Bacterial small subunit ribosomal RNA", at positions 29 to 506 of the family's 1533-position model. The record is from RNAcentral.
AACGAACGCUGGCGGCAGGCCUAACACAUGCAAGUCGAGCGCGCCCUUCGGGGUGAGCGGCGGACGGGUGAGUAACGCGUGGGAACGUACCCUUUGCUACGGAAUAGCCUCGGGAAACUGAGAGUAAUACCGUAUACGCCCUUUGGGGGAAAGAUUUAUCGGCAAAGGAUCGGCCCGCGUUGGAUUAGGUAGUUGGUGGGGUAAUGGCCCACCAAGCCGACGAUCCAUAGCUGGUUUGAGAGGAUGUUCAGCCACACUGGGACUGAGACACGGCCCAGACUCCUACGGGAGGCAGCAGUGGGGAAUCUUAGACAAUGGGGGCAACCCUGAUCUAGCCAUGCCGCGUGAGUGAUGAAGGCCUUAGGGUUGUAAAGCUCUUUCAGCUGGGAAGAUAAUGACGGUACCAGCAGAAGAAGCCCCGGCUAACUCCGU